UUAAAUCUUAGGAUUUUUUCUGUUUUAAGGUGUUUAGGAUGGUUUUAUAUUGUUAGAUUUUGAAGAUUUAAUUCUUUGACUAUUUAAUUGUUUGUAUAGAAAGCGCAAUAUAAUCUUUUGAUGAAAUUUAUUUUAAUUAAUUAUUUUUAUAAAAAUACCGUCAUCUUAUUGUCGUUGUUGAUUGGUUAGCGACUUUAAUUUGUUUUGGUUUGAGUUGGGUUUAAUAUUAGGAUUUUAGGUUUUAAAUUUUGAGGUUUAGGGUCUAGAGUAUUAGGUUUUCAAUUUCAGAUUUUAGAUUUUGGGUUUGGAUUUUAGGUUUUGGAUUUUUAGGUUUAGGAUCUAAAGUAUUGAGUUUUCCAUUUUGGAUUUUUGAUUUUGAGUUUCGCAUUUGGGUUAUUAGAAAUACCGAAAAUGUCGCAAAGCUGAAAAAAAAAGGAAAAAAUAUUUCAGAAAUAUUGAAAAUGCUCUUGCGAUCGACAAUUCUGGAAAUCCUGGAACCAUGUUCCGCUGAAAUUAAAAUUGCUCUCCCCGCUAAAAUUGCACAUCCCCCAUACCAUCUCGUGCUUCACCGAGUUCUCAGCCAACACCACCUCCAACUUCUUCUCGAACCCUACACUUAUAGAAAGGACAAUUGAAGUAUUUCUCGAACUUCAGAGUCAUCAGUCUCACUGCACGGAAUUCACAAUCGCACUUCACUUCUUCUCCGAAGUAGGUGAACAAAUCCUUUGACUCGUCGAGGUGGCGAAACUUGUUCAUAACAUUUUUAUUGGACUUGUUUGAAGACAUUUUGACGAAGUGUAGGAGGAAGUGAGGAGUAAAGAAAUUGGUAUGAUGGGU
Molecule: long non-coding RNA, 837 nt
Filed under: Linum usitatissimum (flax)
Lineage: Eukaryota; Viridiplantae; Streptophyta; Magnoliopsida; Malpighiales; Linaceae
Description: long non-coding RNA (LUSI_LNC003176)
Source: RNAcentral